ACCAGCUUCAUCCUUCGAGUAUUCCACUCUCUCAUCCCACUGCUCCUACUUCCGCCUCCUCUAGCCUCAAAACUUCUGAAACAGUUUUAAUGGCCAUCCCAAAUUCUGACCAAAACAUCUCUCAGGCUUUCAUCCACAGGCAGGAAGUAUGGCUAGUGGCCAUACAAUCUGAUGUUCUUCAUUCUCCCCUCUGUCACUUGGUACUGCCCUCAGAGCAGAUGGAGCUGGAGAGGCCGCCUGAGUUCUACUUAGUCAAGCCAGCCCAUCAGUGCUUACACAGCUGUUCUACAGAACCCUGGAAAAGCAGCCAAAGUGAGGACACAAAGUUGUCCCCAGCCGUAUCCUGAGAAAUCUCCAAUCUUUCAACCCCUACUCACCCAAGCUUCAUGACUUCACCCCACCUCAGUAUCCAUGCCACUGUAAGUCUCCCCACCCAGGGGAAUGUUCCCCUGCCCCUCUUGUAGCCCUGCCC
Molecule: long non-coding RNA, 472 nt
Filed under: Rattus norvegicus (Norway rat)
Lineage: Eukaryota; Metazoa; Chordata; Mammalia; Rodentia; Muridae
Description: long non-coding RNA NONRATT032998
Source: RNAcentral